Long non-coding RNA from Panicum virgatum (switchgrass), 3849 nucleotides. RefSeq lists it as uncharacterized. Lineage: Eukaryota; Viridiplantae; Streptophyta; Magnoliopsida; Poales; Poaceae. The record is from RefSeq and is a predicted model, not a curated record. The transcript is spliced from 3 exons.
UUACCCACUAUUUACAACUUACCGGUUGGGAAAAAAAAUGCGACCCUUCUUUCUCCAUGCACUGUCCCCAUACCCCCUUCCUUCUCUCCCGGCGCUGGCCAAACCCUGGGCUUGCCCUCUGGGAAACGUCAUCGGCGGUCUCCUCUCCCAUUCGGAAUGGAUCUCCAAGAUGAUGCUCUCCCUUCCGGUACAGCUUGGGGGGUCGGACCCCGUUCAUCCUGCUGGUGAUUGGGAGCCUGGCGGGAGGAGUGCGCUGAGGACUGGUGUCGAGGUGCUUCUCAAAAGCAUAGUUGCUACUGGAGUCACAAUCCAAGCCCCUCCUCCUCAGCCCAAUCGCGACGGCUUGCAGAGCAGAGAAUUCAAUCGAGGUCGUCCGAGCUGAGUUCGUCAAGUCGCCGUCCGAGGCUUCAAAAAAAGGAGAAAGAAAGUUGAUCAGUAUAAAGCUCGUACAAGAACUUCAAGUUGAAACUUCACCUUCCAACUCGGAGAAAGGCAAGCACUGGAGCAUCUACGCCUACUAAUUUUAAUUAACUUGUAUUAUUACUUGUGUACUGCAAUUGAAUGCUUAAGUCUAGAAGUUGCUUGAAACCCAUUUGAUGCAUGUUCAGCCUCCUUGAUUUAAGGACAUCUUUGCCACCUUCUCAAAUAGUUAGAUCAAACCGAAGUGUUUAAAAGAAACCCACACUAAAAGCAACCAAAGGUCUAGGUUUUACUCAAAGGUUCACUCGAUAUAUCAAGGCAAUGGUUGGUAAGUAUGGUGAUUGUAAGCAGAAGAGGAGUUCUGGCUCUGUCCUCACUUUCAAAGAAAGAAAUAAGGAACUAUGGUAUGUUUGACCGUAGAUCAAGCGUUGAACAAACUGGUCAUAUGCUGACAUAUGGAACCAUUAUGCCUGGUAGCUUGGUUGACUUAAAUUCUUGAACCAAGUUGUACCCCACUCGACGUGGAAUUGGUGGCGGGGUCAUAGCCCGAAACUCGUGUUGAGAUCAGGCCCGAGGGGGGGGGGGUCCUUCACGGGGAUGCAAAGCCGGGUGUUGGUAAUCUUGGUUCAGGGUUUAGUUCCUCCUUGUGAAAGGUUGCUAUGUGCAGUUUACCUGAAGCUGUACGUGAUGUGUGGCGAGUUAUCUCCUGCAAGAUGUAAAUCGAUUCGAAUCGCUGCAAUUCUCGGAUAUGAAUGCCAUUUGAUCCCUCUUAAACAUCGUAACUAAUUACGAUGCAACCAAUAUAAAAGUUAUUGCUUGUGAACCUAGAGGUAUCUUGGUGCUUGUAUAUUAGAGUUAUUCUUGAACUAGUGUCUUUUUGUAAGUCCUUAAUUAGGUAUAGUCACUGUUUUGGAGUCUAAAUGUUUGUAAAAUGAACCAGUCCACCAAACACAACCUUGCAUACUCCUUGAUCCUAUUUAUUUAUAUAUUAUUAUUUUAGUCGGUUAAGUCUUGCUGAGUACCUUCGUACUCAGUGUUUGUGCAUAACUAUUUUUAGCAGCUCAAACGGCCGAAGAAGCCCAAGGGUGAUGCCUCAAGGCCCGAGGGUAUCUUGAGUCCAUACACCUCUAGAUGUUUCAAAAGAUUAUUGUAAUAUAGCUAGUUUUAAUUUUAAACCCUAUGACUGUAAGAUCCACAUGUUUGAAACUCUAUAGCCCUGGCUUGGAUUAAGGGUUGUGCUUGUUAUGUAAUAAUUCUUGUCUUGUUCUAUAAUCUAUAUUGAACGCAUGCAUUUAAUAUCUGAUGCUCCAAUGCAAAUUGGUCCUUUAUGUAUAUCUGAGACAGUUGUUCAGUGGAUGAUUCGGGUGAAACCCGACGGAUUACCAAAUUUGUUAUACCUUAAGAGCGUUAGCGAGAUUAUCUUUGUAAAAAGGUGAUCUGGCGCUCUUAAGCUGGGAUAAAUUGGGUGGUUCCACCACAAAAAUGUCGAUGAACUGGUUCCAGCAAUUUAUCAUCGAGCUCGGUCUUGCUCUCCCUAUUUCUGAAUUUCUUUGUAAUUUGCUUUCAUUUUACGGGAUUCAGAUCCAUCAUCGUCCCCAAUUCCAUUCUUCAUCUCUGCAUCUUUGUUCAUCUCUGUGAGGCCUUCCUUGGCAUUCCACCUCAGUGGAAUCUCUUUCCUUAUCUUUUCCAUCUCAAACCCCAACCCAACAGUGCUAAUCCUAGUUUGAUUGGAGGCUGUGGGUUCUAGCUCAACCAGGGUAGGGGGUCGGAGUAUAUAGAAUAUGAUACACCGAGUAGUUUGUCUGGGUGGAAGAAUUGCUGGUUCUACAUCGGGAACCACGCACCCUCCCUACCUGUUCGGACUCAUGAAGCCCUCGUGCCCGAGGAUUGUUGGAAAUAUGAUGUUUCGGAAGAAGAUAUGGCCCAGGUCUGGGGUCUCCUUCAGAAGAUCCAGGACCUGAGGAAGGUCGGCAUUACAGGCACCACCAUUCUGUUGUCGUGGCUGUGGAGGCGUAUACAGCCUCUGCAACUACGUACACAUUUCGGGUAUGAGUAUGCCGGGGUUGGUGAACCUUCUCGCAUCACCUCAGAAGAAUUGGUGAUAGGCUGGCCCUGAAGAUGCUCAAUCGUGCAUUUCUCAGGGUCCUGGCGUUGCCUGUCAUCCCCGAGUUGUUCAGUGUCGAAAGGCCCCCAUCUCCUGUGAGUUCUUCGCUGAAGUCUGAGUACUUUGGCACUCGACUUUCAUCUUUUCUUUUUUUGAUUUCGGCUUUAUUGUAUGUAGGAACACCUUGCCUCUUUUCAGAGUCAUCCCCCUCACGCUGAUUCAUCCCAUGCGUAUUUCUUGAAUACGACUACUUUUCCAGAUGGGUGGGAUCUUAUACUCUGUGUUCCUUGAUAGGUGGUGUGGAGAAGAUAUCAGCCGAAGAGGCUGAGACUCGUUCUGGUGGGCGGCCGUCUUCUCGUCCUCCCAAGAAGAGGAGGACCUCCAGUCGGCUUGCCACCGGGGAAGAUAAUAAGCAGACGGAUAGGUUAUUUCCCUCCUUGAUUGCAUUGUUUGGUCCAUUACCUUUGCAUUUACUAAGUUUAUGUUUAUACCUUAAGCUCCGGUGGUGGAGGUGGUGCUGCUAGGGCUAUUGCAGCCCUCGCCACUCUUUUGAAGCCUGUUUUGGCUGUGAAGCGGUCGUCACUAUAAGUUGCUUGUUCCUCUUUGUUCCCCAUCCUUCAGGUGGAUGUUCUUUGUGCUAAAGUUUUGGAGCUCUAUUUCAGAUCUGCCGCUUCGGCAAAAGUGACAGUUGCUUCCUCUGGCCAAGGGCGGAGCACGGCCUCUGCAUCGGGGACUUCGAUCCCUAAUGCUAUCCCUAUUCGUGAUGAUGGGGAUCAAGCCAAUCAGGGUGGUGCUCCUACUGGUAAUGUUGAUCCUAACCUUGGUAGUGAACAGCUGGUGUCAGAGGAAGACUUUACCGAGCUGAAGACGAUGUUCCGCCGUAUCUACGGCUUUACCAUUGUGAGUUGUUCUGAUGCAUCCUGCCCAAGUGGGAUUGGAUGAAAAACCCGACACAACGAUCCGGAUUCCCCGAAUCCCGCAAUCUUAGCACCGACAGUCGAAAAUACGAUGCACCGAUCCGGCCUUAGGAGUCCACUAGGGCCCAACGACCUGAACCUUGGUAAUCUUAGUACCGUACUCCGGCGCACCCCUCGGGGAAAGUCUCAAUCACCCCAAAAGACUAGUCCGAUAGGGGAAGGGUGGCUCUCCCUUUUAAGGUGGUUUCCUCCUCCCAAGCUAAGCAAGGUGGGAUUAUUCAGAGGCUCACACGGUUGCCGAUAGAUUACAACUGGGCCACUUGGCCCAUUUUUGUUGUGUCUUUGCCAGCGAGUAAUAGUGGAGGAUGUCCUCAUCAUUCCAGCCCCUUAACAAGGGCCCAGCUCUGA